RNAcentral lists this ribosomal RNA (492 nucleotides) under uncultured bacterium. Its description in RNAcentral is "partial 16S ribosomal RNA". It matches the Rfam family "Bacterial small subunit ribosomal RNA", at positions 29 to 507 of the family's 1533-position model. The record is from RNAcentral.
AGUGAACGCUGGCGGUAGGCCUAACACAUGCAAGUCGAACGGCAGCACAGUAAGAGCUUGCUCUUACGGGUGGCGAGUGGCGGACGGGUGAGGAAUACAUCGGAAUCUACUUUUUCGUGGGGGAUAACGUAGGGAAACUUACGCUAAUACCGCAUACGACCUACGGGUGAAAGCAGGGGAUCUUCGGACCUUGCGCGAUUGAAUGAGCCGAUGUCGGAUUAGCUAGUUGGCGGGGUAAAGGCCCACCAAGGCGACGAUCCGUAGCUGGUCUGAGAGGAUGAUCAGCCACACUGGAACUGAGACACGGUCCAGACUCCUACGGGAGGCAGCAGUGGGGAAUCUUGGACAAUGGGCGAAAGCCUGAUCCAGCCAUACCGCGUGGGUGAAGAAGGCCUUCGGGUUGUAAAGCCCUUUUAUUGGGAAAGAAAAGCAGCAGAUGAAUACCCCGCUGUUCUGACGGUACCCAAAGAGAAAGCACCGGCUAACUUCGUG